This 465-nucleotide ribosomal RNA is filed under the name uncultured bacterium. RNAcentral's name for it is "partial 16S ribosomal RNA". It matches the Rfam family "Bacterial small subunit ribosomal RNA", at positions 338 to 795 of the family's 1533-position model. The record is from RNAcentral.
CCUACGGGAGACAGCAGUAGGGAAUCUUCCACAAUGGACGAAAGUCUGAUGGAGCAACGCCGCGUGAGUGAAGAAGGGCUUCGGCUCGUAAAGCCCUGUUGGUAGUGAAGAAAGAUAGAGGUAGUAACUGGUCUUUAUUUGACGGUAAUUACUUAGAAAGUCACGGCUAACUACGUGCCAGCAGCCGCGGUAAUACGUAGGUGGCAAGCGUUGUCCGGAUUUAUUGGGCGUAAAGGGAGUGCAGGCGGUUCAAUAAGUCUGAUGUGAAAGCCUUCGGCUCAACCGGAGAAUUGCAUCAGAAACUGUUGAACUUGAGUGCAGAAGAGGAGAGUGGAACUCCAUGUGUAGCGGUGGAAUGCGUAGAUAUAUGGAAGAACACCAGUGGCGAAGGCGGCUCUCUGGUCUGCAACUGACGCUGAGGCUCGAAAGCAUGGGUAGCGAACAGGAUUAGAUACCCGGGUAGUC